This 724-nucleotide ribosomal RNA is filed under the name Arturia hirsuta. RNAcentral describes it as "eukaryotic LSU rRNA". The stretch from base 252 to 405 matches the Rfam family "5.8S ribosomal RNA". Lineage: Eukaryota; Metazoa; Porifera; Calcarea; Clathrinida; Clathrinidae. The record is from RNAcentral.
GGAAGGAUCAUUACCGAAUCCAAACCUUUUAUCACACCGUGAACUUGGUCGCGCACUGUGCGUUCGUCUCCUUACCAGUCGGGGUUGGUUCUCCAUUAAAUUUGCAAGCGAAGUCCGCCUGUCGGGCUGAGCGCGCGAGCCCCGAUUGGAGACGGCGUGCGUGCGUGGUUUUCACUUUCUUUAACCAAGCAAACUUGCAGACUGAACUGUUGGGCUUUUUCGAAAGCUUGUCUUUUGAUCUAAUCGAGGACAACUUUCAACGGUGGAUCUCUUGGCUCGUGGAUCGAUGAAGAACGCAGCAAAACGCGAUAUGUAGUGUGAAUUGCAGAAUUCAGUGAAUCAUCGAAUUUUUGAACGCAAAUGGCGCUCCUGGGUAUUCCUAGGAGCAUGUCUGUCUCAGUGUCGAACUCACCUCGAACGCGCUUCGGCGCGGUGGUCUUGAGGCGUCUGAGAGUCUCGCUAGAGUUCUUUCAGUCCCUUGAAAUGCAGUGGCCAGACGUUGUGCUGCAGCAUGGCCUCGGGUCGGUUUGCCCUGGUUUUGCUCGCACGGCUGAUUCUCUCUGUCGUGUCGCAGCUUCCUUGGCGCACCAGACUUUCAUGCCAGCACACGUCUGAAACAAGCCAGCUCUGGAAACAAACGUUGAAGAGUUCACUCUCUUCUCCAUCCUCGACCUGAGAUCAGGCAAGACUACCCGCUGAAUUUAAGCAUAUUAAUAAGCGGAGG